ACUCAAAGGAAUAGACGGGGGCCCGCACAAGCGGCGGAGCAUGCGGCUUAAUUCGAUGCGACGCGAAGAACCUUACCUGGGUUUGACAUGCAGGGUGAAAUCGUUGAAAAACGACGCUCUUCGGAGCCUGCACAGGUGGUGCAUGGCUGUCGUCAGCUCGUGCCGUGAGGUGUUGCCUUAAGUGGCGCAACGAGCGCAACCCCUGUCCUUAGUUGCCAGCGGGUCAUGCCGGGAACUCUAGGGAAACUGCCGGUGCCAAACCGGAGGAAGGUGGGGAUGACGUCAAGUCAGCAUGCCCCUUAUAUCCAGGGCUGCACGCAUGCUACAAUGCGCGAUACAAAGGGUUGCGAUCCCGCAAGGGGGAGCGAAUCCCAAAAAGUCGCGCUCAGUUCGGAUCGAGGUCUGCAACCCGACCUCGUGAAGUCGGAGUCGCUAGUAAUCGCAGAUCAGCAUUGCUGCGGUGAAUACGUUCCCGGGCCUUGCACACACCGCCCGU
This 496-nucleotide ribosomal RNA is filed under the name uncultured bacterium. RNAcentral describes it as "partial 16S ribosomal RNA". It matches the Rfam family "Bacterial small subunit ribosomal RNA", at positions 899 to 1397 of the family's 1533-position model. The record is from RNAcentral.